CAGGGAAUAGUUUAGUUAGAAUAUCAGCUUUGGGUGCUGAUGGAGGGGCUGUUGCUUCUUCCUUGA
This 66-nucleotide transfer RNA is filed under the name Mustela lutreola (European mink). RNAcentral describes it as "tRNA-Pro". Lineage: Eukaryota; Metazoa; Chordata; Mammalia; Carnivora; Mustelidae. The record is from RNAcentral.